Pongo pygmaeus (Bornean orangutan) is the source of this 667-nucleotide long non-coding RNA. RefSeq lists it as uncharacterized. The record is from RefSeq and is a predicted model, not a curated record. Lineage: Eukaryota; Metazoa; Chordata; Mammalia; Primates; Hominidae. The transcript is spliced from 2 exons.
GCCAAGCACAGACAGAUGCUUAAUUCAGACUUGGACAGAAGAUAGCUCAGGACCCGGAUUUCAGUCCUGCUCUGCUGCUCAUAGGUGGGGCAGCUGCAGGAACUCGGGCUCAGCUUCCUAGCCUGUGAAAUGGGUAUUCAACUCCACAAAUAUUGAUUGAGCCCUAACUUUGUUAAAGGCCCUUCCCUGAAUGUUGAGAAGGUACAAAAAUGAAUCUCCUCCUUUGAGGGGUUAAUCACAGGCUGGGUAAAAUGCUACUACCCAUCAGUGAUGAGGAACUCUGCUGGCUGCUUUGCAUAUGACAUCAAACUCCUGACCAACUCCGUGAGAGAGAUGGAAUUGGCCUCACUUUUCAGAAGAGAAAACCAUGGCUCGAGAAGAGUCUCAGAUGUGGGUGGACUGAUCCCCAAGUAGGUGGCUGUCAGGGAGCCUGCCAACCUGUCAGCCACACUGUGGAGAGGGGAAGGCAGCCUGGUCUAGGCCCACGUGUUGAGAGAACCACCAGGCCUGAGCCAAAGCCUCAUCUGAAGGGGUGGUGAGCCACCGGGCUGAGGACCCAGUUCCUCAGGAACAGAGAAGUUUGCAAUGAUGAUCUCAACUCCGCAUCAUCUGGUGACCCCUGAUUCUGCAGGACUAAGACAUUUCCCAAGAGUUCUGCUGCAUCAGC